AUUGAACGCUGGCGGCAUGCCUUACACAUGCAAGUCGAACGGCAGCGGGGGAGAAGCUUGCUUUUCCUGCCGGCGAGUGGCGAACAGGUGAGUAAUACAUCGGAACGUGCCCUGUAGUGGGGGAUAACUAGUCGAAAGAUUAGCUAAUACCGCAUACGACCUGAGGGUGAAAGUGGGGGACCGCAAGGCCUCAUGCUAUAGGAGCGGCCGAUGUCUGAUUAGCUAGUUGGUGGGGUAAAGGCCUACCAAGGCGACGAUCAGUAGCUGGUCUGAGAGGACGAUCAGCCACACUGGGACUGAGACACGGCCCAGACUCCUACGGGAGGCAGCAGUGGGGAAUUUUGGACAAUGGGCGAAAGCCUGAUCCAGCAAUGCCGCGUGUGUGAAGAAGGCCUUCGGGUUGUAAAGCACUUUUGUCCGGAAAGAAAUGGCUCUGGUUAAUACCUGGGUCGAUGACGGUACCGGAAGAAUAAGGACCGGCUAACUACGUGCCAGCAGCCGCCGUAA
This 507-nucleotide ribosomal RNA is filed under the name uncultured bacterium. RNAcentral's name for it is "partial 16S ribosomal RNA". It matches the Rfam family "Bacterial small subunit ribosomal RNA", at positions 30 to 523 of the family's 1533-position model. The record is from RNAcentral.